RNAcentral lists this ribosomal RNA (352 nucleotides) under Actinomycetes bacterium. RNAcentral describes it as "partial 23S ribosomal RNA". It matches the Rfam family "Bacterial large subunit ribosomal RNA", at positions 2575 to 2925 of the family's 2925-position model. The record is from RNAcentral. Lineage: Bacteria; Bacillati; Actinomycetota; Actinomycetes.
GGCUGUUCGCCCAUUAAAGUGGCACGCGAGCUGGGUUUAGAACGUCGUGAGACAGUUCGGUCCCUAUCCGCCGUGUGCGCAGGAGAUUUGAGAAGGGCUGUCCCUAGUACGAGAGGACCGGGACGGACGAACCUCUGGUGUGUCAGUUGUUCUGCCAAGAGCACUGCUGAUUAGCUACGUUCGGAAGGGAUAACCGCUGAAAGCAUCUAAGCGGGAAGCCUGCUUCAAGAUAAGAUCUCCCACAGGGUUAACCUGGUAAGGCCCCCAGUAGACCACUGGGUUGAUAGGCCGGAGGUGGAAGUGCGGCAACGCAUGGAGCCGACCGGUACUAAUAGGCCGAGGACUUAACCAA